UACGUAGGGUGCGAGCGUUAAUCGGAAUUACUGGGCGUAAAGGGUGCGCAGGCGGUUGAUUAAGUCAGAUGUGAAAUCCCCGGGCUCAACCUGGGAAUGGCAUUUGAGACUGAUCGGCUAGAGUGUGUCAGAGGGGGGUAGAAUUCCACGUGUAGCAGUGAAAUGCGUAGAGAUGUGGAGGAAUACCGAUGGCGAAGGCAGCCCCCUGGGAUAACACUGACGCUCAUGCACGAAAGCGUGGGGAGCAAACAGG
RNAcentral lists this ribosomal RNA (253 nucleotides) under uncultured bacterium. RNAcentral describes it as "partial 16S ribosomal RNA". It matches the Rfam family "Bacterial small subunit ribosomal RNA", at positions 524 to 776 of the family's 1533-position model. The record is from RNAcentral.